AACACCAACUCUCUAUCUCUCUCUCUCUCCCUGCCUCCAUUUCUCUGAAAUUUCACAAUCUUCAUCUCUAAAAUUCCCUUUCCCCCACAACAUCUUCUUAUCUUCUACUUCCAAGUUGUAAACCCUUAAUUUCACCCAUUAUUUAUACAGUCCAAAAUAGCAAACCCUGACUAUUCACACAUGGUUGAAGCGAAGACAAAGAAGAAAUCUUAAAGCUCUGUACCACAAAUUUUGAGGAGAAGAUUAUAAAGCUUGGACCACAACACUAUCAAGCAAAAUAUUGAAGUAUUCCGCCACCUUUAAUCUUGGAUUUUAAAAGUUUUGGUCUCCACACAAAGGUACUUUCUCUUUUUUGUUUAAUCAUACUUGUGAAAGAAAAUGAUAGAUUGUUUGAUCGUGGAUGGUCUACAUGUGCUGGUUUUUUUUCUUUGUCUAAUUUAUUCAUGUUUGAGUAUCAGAUAUUAAUAGUAUGGAUGAACAGUAAAGUUAUCUUUAGGGGUUAGAUUUUAUGAAGGAGUUUGUAAUGUCUAUAAUUACAUAUAUUAAAGAAGGUACAAAUACCAAACUAUUUUAGCAUAUGCUCAGCACUAAAUUAAUACAAAUGCUCACCACCGGAGCAAUCCAUUUGUUGUGCUUUUGUGCUUGGUCUCUGACAUUUCAUGUCCAUCAAGAUUAUUCGAUCUAUUGUGCUAUGUGCUUAAUAAAUUGAUAUUCUGUUAACAUUAUUCAGUUAGGAUAAUAAUUUCACUUUUUCUCAAAUUAGGACAUAGGUAAUCAAAUUGGAUCCCAUGUUGCUUGGCCUAAAUAAUUUUUCAUCUUGAAUGAUGUGAGGUACAUAUCUAUAAUUAUUGUUUGUCUUUGAUAUGUCAUAAAUUAAUAAUAAUAAUAUUUUUAUUAUUCUAGUUAUAUAAAGUAAUCCAUUAAGAAUGUGUAUGAAUACAAAGUGCCAACAAGAAUAGAUGUUGUUUGCGAGUAUGCUCGCGAGUGUUGACUAAAGUAUUAUUGAUUGAAAUUUAUCCUGGGAUAUUUGAUAAUGAACAAGCUUAAUUAUAUUUAUCAAUUGACGACAUCGUACAAUUCUAUAGCAUGGAAAAAAUUGGGGUCACAACAAUAACUUCUUACAUGAAGUACUUAAAUUACUUAUUUUCUUAGCAAGCAUAAUUAGUUAUAAUUUUUAUGUGUGCAGUGUUGUAAUUAUAACUUGUUUUCCCUAGGAAUCUUUGCUAGGUCUUGCAGGAUCCUUACUUGGACCAUAUUUAUAAAUUUGGUAAUCCUUCAACCUUUUGUCAUAAAACUAGAGAUAGUGAUGAGACUAGAGCUCGUGUAAUGUAUCAAGAAUGGAAAUACUUGAUGCAGAACAACUUAUGAUAUUUCCUUACAAUACCGGGUUUGUUAUUUUAUUGGUCGUAUAUAGCAUUUGGAGUUUAUUUUCUUUUUCUUUUAUAGAAAAUGCAAGACUAAUAUUUAUCAUUAUAUAUAGAAAAACAUUGGAUGUUGAUUGUUGUGGAUACACACAUAUUCAUAGUAUAUUGAUUCACUUGGUCAUGAACCGCACAUUGAUUUGAAGAAUUUUAUAUCACUGUAAAUUAUUGUCAAUUAUAAUGCAUGUAGUAAAACAUGACUAAAUGUGUAUAUCUAAUUAUAUCUUAAGUGCUUUCAAGAUUUUUGUGGCAAAAAUGAGAAAUACGAAUAAAAAAUCCUUUGUUGGGAAGAGGGUUAAGGUACAUGAAACUAUACAUAUAUAUGUUCAGUUUAAAUUUCUUUACAUAUGCACAUGACAUUAAUUAAUUCAAAAUUAUUGUGCAGUGUCCUUAACAAACUACAGAUGUUGAAUGUGAAUAUUAUGUGAUUAGGUUUAUGAAGGAAAUUAUUGAAAACCAAGAUUCAAUAAAAAAUGAGGUAGUCAUUUCCUUAUCCUUUUAAAGUUUAUAGAUUUCAUAACGUUGAUGCAUGUAUUAAUAUUGACUAUUUUGUGUACGAUAUAUAGUUUGUUGGAUGAGACAUCUACACCCAAAAGGAUAUUGAUGAAGUACGAAUGGAGUGGACAAAGUACAUAUGGUAGAAUAAUUUUCGCUAAAUUUUGUAGCACGACUUUGAGACGUUAGUAAAUGAAUAGUAUUAUUAUUUUUAGGGAAAUUUACAACCGUCCACCUGUUUGUUUUGCCUUUUUCAAAAAUACACAAAUACUUUUUUUUUUCAGCGCGCCACCUGAAGUUUACUUUUUGUUGCAUUCGUCCACUUCCGUCUAAUUUCCGUUAGUGAAUUUAACGGAAUGACCUUUUUACCCUUCAAAAUUACAAUUUAACCCAAAAUAAAUAGAAAUUAGAGAUAAAUUGGAUGGAUUUAAUUUUUUUCAAAGGUGGAUGCUAGAAAUUGGAGGAAAAUAAUGUUUGUUGCUUGCUAAAUUUAAAAAAUUUGUAUUUAUUUUUUUAGAGAAAGAUAGUGUUUAUUACUUGCUAAAUUUAGAAAAUUUGUAUUUAUUUUUUUGUCUUUCAAAAAAAUAAAUACAAAUUUUCUAAAUUUAGCAAGCAACAAACACUAUUUUCCCCCAAUUUCUAGCAUCCACCUUUGAAAAAAAUUAAAUCCAUCCAAUUUAUCUCCAAUUUCCAUUUAUUUUGGGUUAAAUUGUAAUUUUGAGGGGUAAAAAGGUCAUUUCGUUAACAUUCCGUUAAAUCUACUAACGGAAAUUUGACGGAAGUGGAUGAAUGCAACAAAAAACAAACUUUAGGUGGCGCGCUGCAAAAAAAAAAAAGUGUUUGUGUAUUUUUGAAAAAUGCAAAACAAACAGGUGGACGAGUGUAAAUUUCCCUUAUUUUUAUUCAUGUCUUUGUUAUUGUCUUUGUUUCGAAUAAGACAUUAAAAUGAUUUGUGAAAUUAUUUCAAUUAUUUCGAUAUUGUAAUCAAGGAAGGUUCGUCAAAAGGGUCCACUCUCCAACUCUCUCUGGCUUUGGCAUGAUUAUUGAAGUAGUCAAUAGGAUGGCCGCAUUGUGUUGUUCCUCUGAAGAAUGUAAUAUUUUUCUUUUAGGAAAAAAGAGUUAUGGAUAUCUAGUAUUCUAGUUCCUUUAAUUUGGAAAUUGUAAUAUUUUUUUAGUAUUGUUUGUAACGUACUAGAUUUAUAUAUGAUUAAUGCAAUUGCU
Molecule: long non-coding RNA, 3137 nt
Filed under: Citrus maxima (pomelo)
Lineage: Eukaryota; Viridiplantae; Streptophyta; Magnoliopsida; Sapindales; Rutaceae
Description: long non-coding RNA (CMAX_LNC000770)
Source: RNAcentral